Molecule: ribosomal RNA, 253 nt
Filed under: uncultured bacterium
Lineage: Bacteria
Description: partial 16S ribosomal RNA
Rfam family: Bacterial small subunit ribosomal RNA
Source: RNAcentral
UACGUAGGCAGCAAACGUUGUUCGGAGUUACUGGGCGUAAAGAGUACGUAGGCGGUUUGCCAAGUUUGGUGUGAAAUCUCCUGGCUUACCUGGGAGGGUGCGCCGAAUACUGGCGGGCUUGAGUAUUGGAGAGGAAAGCGGAAUUCCAGGUGUAGCGGUGAAAUGCGUAGAUAUCUGGAGGAACACCGGUGGCGAAGGCGGCAUCCUGGACCGGCAUUGACGCUGAGGAGCGAAAGCCAGGGGAGCAAACGGG